UUGACUGGGGCGGUCGCCUCCUAAAAGGUAACGGAGGCGCUCAAAGGUUCCCUCAGAAUGGUUGGAAAUCAUUCAUAGAGUGUAAAGGCAUAAGGGAGCUUGACUGCGAGACCUACAAGUCGAGCAGGGUCGAAAGACGGACUUAGUGAUCCGGUGGUUCCGCAUGGAAGGGCCAUCGCUCAACGGAUAAAAGCUACCCCGGGGAUAACAGGCUUAUCUCCCCCAAGAGUUCACAUCGACGGGGAGGUUUGGCACCUCGAUGUCGGCUCAUCGCAUCCUGGGGCUGUAGUCGGUCCCAAGGGUUGGGCUGUUCGCCCAUUAAAGCGGUACGCGAGCUGGGUUCAGAACGUCGUGAGACAGUUCGGUCCCUAUCCGUCGUGGGCGUAGGAAAUUUGAGAGGAGCUGUCCUUAGUACGAGAGGACCGGGAUGGACAUACCUCUGGUGUACCAGUUGUCGUGCCAACGGCAUAGCUGGGUAGCUAUGUGUGGACGGGAUAAGUG
This 501-nucleotide ribosomal RNA is filed under the name Staphylococcus aureus. RNAcentral's name for it is "partial 23S ribosomal RNA". It matches the Rfam family "Bacterial large subunit ribosomal RNA", at positions 2270 to 2770 of the family's 2925-position model. Lineage: Bacteria; Bacillati; Bacillota; Bacilli; Caryophanales; Staphylococcaceae. The record is from RNAcentral.